UAAAAAGCUAGUAGUUGGAUCUGUGUAUCGGACGGUCGGUUCGCCGCUCGCGGUGUUUGACUGACCGGUUCGGACGUCAUGCCGGUGGGACCUCGGCGCAAGUCGGGGUUCCGUAACUUACCCUCCGCGCUGCUCUUAACCGAGUGGUUCGGUGGGCCGGCACGUUUACUUUGAACAAAUUUGAGUGCUCAAAGCAGGCCUUAUGUUGCCUGAAAACUGUGUGCAUGGAAUAAUGAAAGAGGACCUUGGUUCUAUUUUGUUGGCUUUCUGAACUCGAGGUAAUGAUUAACAGGGACAGACGGGGGCAUUCGUAUUGCGACGUUAGAGGUGAAAUUCUUGGAUCGUCGCAAGACGGACCGAUGCGAAAGCGUUUGCCAAGAAUGUUUUCGCUAAUCAAGAACGAAAGUUAGAGGUUCGAAGGCGAUUAGAUACCGCCCUAGUUCUAACCAUAAACGAUGUCAGCCAGCGAUGCGCCGAUGUUCCUCCGAUGACACGGCGCGCAACUUCCGGGAAACCAAAGCUUUUGGGUUCCGGGG
Molecule: ribosomal RNA, 536 nt
Filed under: Epeorus latifolium
Lineage: Eukaryota; Metazoa; Arthropoda; Insecta; Ephemeroptera; Heptageniidae
Description: SSU rRNA
Rfam family: Eukaryotic small subunit ribosomal RNA
Source: RNAcentral